This is a long non-coding RNA of Nycticebus coucang (slow loris), 1555 nucleotides long. RefSeq lists it as uncharacterized. The transcript has 3 exons. The record is from RefSeq and is a predicted model, not a curated record. NCBI's taxonomy places the organism in Eukaryota, Metazoa, Chordata, Mammalia, Primates, Lorisidae.
AAAAGCAAGAGUUAAGAAGAGCCAGAGUUAAGGAGAGCAAGUUAAGGCAUCCACCUCUGUCGCUGUCCCAAGAACCAGCUGGCCCUUGGCUUCCCUGAUCACCAAAUGGAUGCUCUUGGCAAUGACAUCUCCUUACUUCAGGACAAGGAAUGGCCCAGAAGAAAAGGGUUACGUGGAGACAGACAGGAAAGAGAAAAACCAGGUGCUUUGGUUCUUUCCUGCCUGUAACUCAUUAACUAAACUCAAGUCCUUUUUCUUCCUCCCUUUGGACUGGAGGUAAAGUCCUGACCAGGCCUGAGGGGAUAGUUCUGGAAGGCCUUUUCAGGGUCAGAAAACAUGCAAGCAACUUUGUUUGCAUCAGCAAGUCCAGCUGCAUCAUGCAAGCCCUUUGAGUAGCCACUGACUCCCAACACAAAACAGAUGUCUGUUCUACAGAGCGGGAACAUACAUUGCUCCUAAACUGGCUGGCUGAGUCUUUCCCUGGUGGGCAGAAGCCCAGACUCUGAGUCCGCCCAGCUGAGGGUGAGUCCUGACUCCACAACUCACGGUGACACCUGAACUAGAGAAAUGGAAGCAGACAAGACUUGGCAUAAUGUCUUCAAGGUUCAUCCAUGUUGCAGCAGCGUCAAACUUCCUUUCCUUUCGUUGCUGAAUGAUAUUUUGUUGUAAGAAGACACCACAUUUUUUUUAUUUAUUCAUCAACUGACACUUGGAUUGUUUCUUCUCUUUAACUAUUAUGAAUAGUGCUGCUAUGAAUGUUCACAUACAAGUUUUUGAGUGAACAUGUGUUUUUAUUCCUCUUGGGUCUAGCAGUGUCUUUUUCCUCUUAAAGAUCUACUGCAAGAAUUUAUAUAUGUGUGUGUGUGUGUGUUCAUAUAUACACAAGCUAGCCAUAAAGUUCAUGUGCAAUUUACUAUGUUAAACUAUUUUAAAUCGCAUUUGAAAUUUAUGUCCACCCUGUAUAUCCCCACCACCACCCCCCCCAUCAUAACCUCUUGAAGAAGUGGCUUCAAGUGGCUUGGCCCCUGAAGCCCUCAGAGCUCUGACAUCCUGUCCAGGACCUUCCGUGUGAUCCUGGGGUACUACCCAUUCUCACUGCCCUUCAGUUGUGCUAUCAGUAGCAGGAAGGUGAGAACACCAGCUCUUUGAUCUUCUCAUAGGAUCUUGAGAAGAUAAAUGAAAUGACAUAAAUUGAGAGGAUCUAGUUUUUUGAAGAUACUAACCCAUGUGGAUGGGCUAUUGUGAAUCAAAGAAAAAAGACACACCUGGACCAAGGUUUUGCAACACAUGGAUGUCCAAGAGGCCAGUGGCUUGAUGUGGGGACACAGGAUUAAAAAAAAUAAUCAUCUGGCCAGGUGCAGGGGUUCAUAUCUGUGAUCCUGGCACUCUGGGAGCCAGAGGCAGGAGGAUCCUUUGAGCUCAGGAGUUUGAGACCAGCGUGAGAAGCAUGAGACAUUAUCUCUACUAAAAAUAAAAAAAAAAAACUAGCCAGGCAUUGUGGUGGGCACCAGUAGUCCCAGCUACUUGGGAGACUGAGACAGGAGGAUCGCUUGAG